Molecule: ribosomal RNA, 930 nt
Filed under: Ctenophora environmental sample
Lineage: Eukaryota; Metazoa; Ctenophora
Description: partial Bacterial small subunit ribosomal RNA
Rfam family: Bacterial small subunit ribosomal RNA
Source: RNAcentral
UGAAGAGUUUGAUCCUGGCUCAGGAUGAACGCUAGCGGCAGGCCUAACACAUGCAAGUCGAACGGUAACAGGGAAAAGCUUGCUUUUCCGCUGACGAGUGGCGCACGGGUGCGUAACGCGUAUACAAUCUACCUUUUACAGGGGGAUAGCCUUUAGAAAUGAAGAUUAAUACCCCAUGGCAUUAUAAACCGGCAUCGGUUUAUAAUUAAAGUUUCGGCGGUAGGAGAUGAGUAUGCGUUCUAUUAGCUAGUAGGUGUGGUAACGGCACACCUAGGCAACGAUAGAUAGGGGCCCUGAGAGGGGGAUCCCCCACACUGGUACUGAGACACGGACCAGACUCCUACGGGAGGCAGCAGUGAGGAAUAUUGGACAAUGGAGGCAACUCUGAUCCAGCCAUGCCGCGUGCAGGAAGACUGCCCUAUGGGUUGUAAACUGCUUUUGUACAGGAAGAAACCUUUCCACGUGUGGAGAGCUGACGGUACUGUAAGAAUAAGGAUCGGCUAACUCCGUGCCAGCAGCCGCGGUAAUACGGAGGAUGCAAGCGUUAUCCGGAAUCAUUGGGUUUAAAGGGUCCGUAGGUGGAUUGGUCAGUCAGAGGUGAAAUCCUGCAGCUCAACUGUAGAACUGCCUUUGAUACUGCCGGUCUUGAAUUAUUGUGAAGUGGUUAGAAUAUGUAGUGUAGCGGUGAAAUGCAUAGAUAUUACAUAGAAUACCAAUUGCGAAGGCAGAUCACUAACAAUAUAUUGACACUGAUGGACGAAAGCGUGGGGAGCGAACGGGAUUAGAUACCCCGGUAGUCCACGCCGUAAACGAUGGUCACUAGCUGUUCGGACUUCGGUCUGAGUGGCUAAGCGAAAGUGAUAAGUGACCCACCUGGGGAGUACGUUCGCAAGAAUGAAACUCAAAGGAAUUGACGGGGGCCCGCACAAG